AACUUAAACGCCGCCAGGUACCCAACUCUGAACACUGCUGCUUUUGUGCUCGGUCUGAAUCUGUUGAGCAUGCUCUGCUGUUUUGCCCACAUGCCAGGGACGUGUGGGAUAUCGUCAAAGAGGAAUAUAAUUUCAGCCUGCACCGUGGCACUUUUCUGUCUCCAAGGCAAUGGAUUUUUGACUUCUUGGCAAGGUCGUCUGAUCAGCAUCUUUUCCUUCCAGUAUCUGAACACAGGCGUGAAACCAAUGCGUCCAGCUCCAACUGGUCUCCGCCGCCGUCAGGUACCAUUAUGUUCUACUCAGACGCUGCAACUUUCUCAAACCUGGAUAAGUCCGGCAUUGGGGUCGUCGGCAGGGUUGACGGAGGUCAAUUCGUGGUGGCCUGUAGCGAGCCUAUUGCGGGUAGCUUGGAACCUGAAAUGGCUGAGGCCAUGGCUCUUCGACGUGCUGUUCUUUUGGCGCAUGAUGAACAAGUAUCAGAUGUUAUCUUCGCCGCUGACUGUCUCUCACUUGUGCAAAGGAUCAACUCGCCUAUGAGGGACCGUUCUUCAAUUGGAGUGGUGGUGGCUGAUAUCAAGUCUUUGUCUGAAGGUUUCUCUUCAGUGUCCUUCAAACAUGUUCGUCGGCAUUUAAAUGUUCCUGCUCA
Molecule: non-coding RNA, 646 nt
Organism: Aegilops tauschii subsp. strangulata
Lineage: Eukaryota; Viridiplantae; Streptophyta; Magnoliopsida; Poales; Poaceae
Source: RefSeq, a predicted model, not a curated record